AUUGAACGCUGGCGGCAUGCCUUACACAUGCAAGUCGAACGGCAGCACGGGGCAACCUGGUGGCGAGUGGCGAACGGGUGAGUAAUGCAUCGGAACGUACCUUUCAGUGGGGGAUAACGUAGCGAAAGUUACGCUAAUACCGCAUAUUCUGUGAGCAGGAAAGCAGGGGAUCGCAAGACCUUGCGCUGAUUGAGCGGCCGAUGUCAGAUUAGCUAGUUGGUGAGGUAAAGGCUCACCAAGGCGACGAUCUGUAGCGGGUCUGAGAGGAUGAUCCGCCGCACUGGAACUGAGACACGGUCCAGACUCCUACGGGAGGCAGCAUUGGGGAAUUUUGGACAAUGGGGGCAACCCUGAUCCAGCCAUGCCGCGUGAGUGAAGAAGGCCUUCGGGUUGUAAAGCUCUUUCGGCCGGGAAGAAAUCGCACGGGCUAAUACCCUGUGUGGAUGACAGUACCGGAAUAAGAAGCACCGGCUAACUACGUGCCAGCAGCCGCCGUAA
This 498-nucleotide ribosomal RNA is filed under the name uncultured bacterium. RNAcentral's name for it is "partial 16S ribosomal RNA". It matches the Rfam family "Bacterial small subunit ribosomal RNA", at positions 30 to 523 of the family's 1533-position model. The record is from RNAcentral.